GACGAACGCUGGCGGCGUGCCUAAUACAUGCAAGUAGAACGCUGAAGGAGGAGCUUGCUUCUCUGGAUGAGUUGCGAACGGGUGAGUAACGCGUAGGUAACCUGCCUGGUAGCGGGGAAUAACUAUUGGAAACGAUAGCUAAUACCGCAUAAGAGUAGAUGUCGCAUGACAUUUGCUUAAAGGGUGCAAUUGCAUCACUACCAGAUGGACCUGCGUUGUAUUAGCUAGUUGGUGAGGUAACGGCUCACCAAGGCAACGAUACAUAGCCGACCUGAGAGGGUGAUCGGCCACACUGGGAAUGAGACACGGCCCAGACUCCUACGGGAGGCAGCAGUAGGGAAUCUUCGGCAAUGGACGGAAGUCUGACCGAGCAACGCCGCGUGAGUGAAGAAGGGUUUCGGAUCGUAAAGCUCUGUUGUAAGAGAAGAACGAGUGUGAGAGUGGAAAGUUCACACUGUGACGGUAUCUUACCAGAAAGGGACGGCUAACUACGUG
This 495-nucleotide ribosomal RNA is filed under the name uncultured bacterium. RNAcentral describes it as "partial 16S ribosomal RNA". It matches the Rfam family "Bacterial small subunit ribosomal RNA", at positions 28 to 507 of the family's 1533-position model. The record is from RNAcentral.